CAUUUAGAAAGCUCUGAAGAGCAAAGGAUUUGGUGCUUCCAGUUGAUUAGAAUGCUCGGUAUCCUGUAAGAGAGGGAUACAGUUCCUCUCACUUUCCAGGUGCUUUGGACUACAACUUCCAACAUCUAUGGCCUGGUUGGCUAGGAAUGAUGGAAUCCAACAACAACUGGAGUCUCAAGUUCUCUACAUCUGCAUGAAAAUGAUGAGUUGUUCCCCCCUCCAUCAAAAGUGGGCCGUGCCCAGUAAAAUCCCCACUCUUUUUAUGUUUGUUUACCUUUUUGAAGGAAAGGAAAAAAAUAUGGAGAUAGAGAUUGAGAGAAUAGCAGACAGAAAGGGAGAGAAGGAAAAUCUCAAAGAGGAAGAGUGAAAGAGACAAAGGAGGACAUAUGUGAGAACUGAGGCUGAGUCCAACAAUCCAGUGAAAGCAGGGAGUUCCCAAUCCCAUCACAAUUAAACCUGGACCAAAAUUAGUACCUUAAGAGAAUAAAAUUUGCUAAAACUUCAA
Molecule: non-coding RNA, 505 nt
Organism: Pantherophis guttatus
Lineage: Eukaryota; Metazoa; Chordata; Lepidosauria; Squamata; Colubridae
Source: RefSeq, a predicted model, not a curated record